GAGUUUGAUCCUGGCUCAGACUGAACGCUGGCGGCAUGCCUUACACAUGCAAGUCGAACGGCAGCACGGGAGCUUGCUCCUGGUGGCGAGUGGCGAACGGGUGAGUAAUGCAUCGGAACGUAUCCUGGAGUGGGGGAUAACGUAGCGAAAGUUACGCUAAUACCGCAUAUUCUGUGAGCAGGAAAGCGGGGGACCUUCGGGCCUCGCGCUCUUGGAGCGGCCGAUGUCGGAUUAGCUAGUUGGUGAGGUAAAGGCUCACCAAGGCGACGAUCCGUAGCAGGUCUGAGAGGAUGAUCUGCCACACUGGAACUGAGACACGGUCCAGACUCCUACGGGAGGCAGCAGUGGGAAUUUUGGACAAUGGGGGCAACCCUGAUCCAGCCAUGCCGCGUGAGUGAAGAAGGCC
This 406-nucleotide ribosomal RNA is filed under the name bacterium enrichment culture clone ALO1_GLFRUDD03GGE8B. RNAcentral describes it as "bacterial SSU rRNA". It matches the Rfam family "Bacterial small subunit ribosomal RNA", at positions 9 to 416 of the family's 1533-position model. The record is from RNAcentral.